GCCUACGGGACGCAGCAGUAGGGAAUAUUGCUCAAUGGGGGAAACCCUGAAGCAGCAACGCCGCGUGGAGGAUGAAGGUUUUCGGAUUGUAAACUCCUUUUGUUAGAGAAGAUAAUGACGGUAUCUAACGAAUAAGCACCGGCUAACUCCGUGCCAGCAGCCGCGGUAAUUCGGAGGGUGCAAGCGUUACUCGGAAUCACUGGGCGUAAGGAGCGCGUAGGCGGGAUAGCAAGUCAGAUGUGAAAUCCUAUAGCUUAACCAUAGAACUGCAUUUGAAACUGUUAUUCUAGAGUAUGGGAGAGGCA
RNAcentral lists this ribosomal RNA (305 nucleotides) under uncultured bacterium. RNAcentral describes it as "bacterial SSU rRNA". It matches the Rfam family "Bacterial small subunit ribosomal RNA", at positions 337 to 659 of the family's 1533-position model. The record is from RNAcentral.